GGAUGGGUGGCCGAGCGGUUUAAGGCACCGGUCUUGAAAACCGGCGGACGGGAGACCGUCCCGUGGGUUCGAAUCCCACCCCAUCCG
Molecule: transfer RNA, 87 nt
Filed under: Rhodospira trueperi
Lineage: Bacteria; Pseudomonadati; Pseudomonadota; Alphaproteobacteria; Rhodospirillales; Rhodospirillaceae
Rfam family: tRNA
About the family: Transfer RNA (tRNA) molecules are approximately 80 nucleotides in length. Their secondary structure includes four short double-helical elements and three loops (D, anti-codon, and T loops). Further hydrogen bonds mediate the characteristic L-shaped molecular structure. tRNAs have two regions of fundamental functional importance: the anti-codon, which is responsible for specific mRNA codon recognition, and the 3' end, to which the tRNAs corresponding amino acid is attached (by aminoacyl-tRNA synthetases). tRNAs cope with the degeneracy of the genetic code in two manners: having more than one tRNA (with a specific anti-codon) for a particular amino acid; and 'wobble' base-pairing, i.e. permitting non-standard base-pairing at the 3rd anti-codon position.
Source: Rfam by way of RNAcentral